Triplophysa dalaica is the source of this 735-nucleotide long non-coding RNA. RefSeq lists it as uncharacterized. The record is from RefSeq and is a predicted model, not a curated record. NCBI's taxonomy places the organism in Eukaryota, Metazoa, Chordata, Actinopteri, Cypriniformes, Nemacheilidae. The transcript has 2 exons.
UCUCACAACGUAAACUACACUUCAAAGUUAUUUUAAUUUGAAUGAGUCGCUUGUAGUGAACGAUGUGAGGUAAAAGUCUGACCGGAUUUAUAAUUUGCACACUUUUACAAUAAUAAUGAUGGUUCAGGGGUUGUUAAUGAACGUUGAAAAACGUAUAUGCAGCUAAAACAUUCUAGGACUUACAUUUACGACCACCUCGAUGACGACAUAAAGUGUCACAUCUGACCCAUAUUACUCAAACGCUGCGAUACUCGGUAACAGCUUCCGGUUGUAAGGCACGCGACAUCCGUGGUUACCAUGGUGUCUACGAUUCAAACAAUCGUGUCACUGUUUAUAUCGCCCGUUCUUUCGGCUAAGGAUAUAUGAUAUAGCAACAUGUCAAAUUCAAAGCAGGACAAACUGUACGAAUUGAAUAUGCAAAGGGAGAGCUGGUGUCACGUAGAAACAACCAGCAGGUUCUGGAAUCUACCAGAAAGGAGACACUUCCGCGGUCACCUGCAAGAUACCUGUGACUUCAGCGCGAUACAGAAGUCGAGUCCCGAGCUACGGUCGUCCUGGAUGGAGGGCCGCAACACUAGACAUCCAGAGAGAAGACACUUUGAAGAGAGCUAUAAAGAUCAUCUGGUGUAAAGACCUGCAAUCAACCUCAACACAAAGCAAAUGUUUUCCUCCAGAUAGUAAUAAAGCUUUAUAAUCAAACAAUAUGCAAUAAAGUGCUUUAUUUUAAUUCAUGUA